This 22-nucleotide microRNA is filed under the name Eisenia fetida (common brandling worm). Its description in RNAcentral is "Efe-Mir-71-P1_3p* (star (passenger))". Lineage: Eukaryota; Metazoa; Annelida; Clitellata; Crassiclitellata; Lumbricidae. The record is from RNAcentral.
UCUUACUACCUUGUCCUUCCAG